AACGCACAUUGCGCCCUUUGGCAUUCCGAGGGGCAUGCCCGUUCGAGCGUCAUUAAAUCCAAUCAAGCCCGGCUUGGUGUUGGGCGUCGGGGUCCCCGCGCCUCAAUUUCACCGGCUGGCCGUCGCCCGUUUCAGCGUUGUGACACACUUCUCGCUGCCGACGGGAACGGACCACGCCGUUAAAACCCCACGAAUUUCAAUCGAAAUUUGAUUAAGAUUGACCUCGGAUCGGGUAGGAAUACCCGCUGAACUUAA
This 255-nucleotide unclassified non-coding RNA is filed under the name uncultured fungus. Its description in RNAcentral is "partial contains 5.8S ribosomal RNA, internal transcribed spacer 2, and large subunit ribosomal RNA". The record is from RNAcentral. Lineage: Eukaryota; Fungi.